RNAcentral lists this ribosomal RNA (489 nucleotides) under uncultured bacterium. Its description in RNAcentral is "partial 16S ribosomal RNA". It matches the Rfam family "Bacterial small subunit ribosomal RNA", at positions 28 to 507 of the family's 1533-position model. The record is from RNAcentral.
GACGAACGCUGGCGGCGUGCUUAACACAUGCAAGUCGAACGGAAAGGCCCCCACCUUGGUGGGGGUGCUCGAGUGGCGAACGGGUGAGUAACACGUGGGUGAUCUGCCCUGUACUUCGGGAUAAGCUUGGGAAACUGGGUCUAAUACCGGAUAGGACCAUGGUUUAGUGUGUCAUGGUGGAAAAAUUAUUGUUUUGGUGCAGGAUGAGCUCGCGGCCUAUCAGCUUGUUGGUGGGGUAAUGGCCUACCAAGGCGUCGACGGGUAGCCGGCCUGAGAGGGUGGACGGCCUGAUUGUGACUGAGAUACGGCCCAGACUCCUACGGGAGGCAGCGGUGGGGAAUGUUGCACGAUGGGCGCAAGCCUGAUGCAGCGCCGCCGCGUGGGGGAUGACGGCCUUCGGGUUGUAAACUCCUUUCGUUAGGGACGAAGCCACACCUUUUUUGGGUGUGGUGACGGUACCUUUGUGAAGAAGCACCGGCUAACUACGUG